RNAcentral lists this unclassified non-coding RNA (532 nucleotides) under Hevea brasiliensis (rubber tree). The record is from RNAcentral. Lineage: Eukaryota; Viridiplantae; Streptophyta; Magnoliopsida; Malpighiales; Euphorbiaceae.
AUGGUGAGGAAGAUUUUCAUAUAUACAUCAGAAGAAGUCAAGAGAUUAUCUCCCAAGAUUAAACUUCCAGUAAUGAAGAGAUUAAAGCAACCACAGCUGAUCCUGACACUGAUGCAGCAGUUAACUCGAAGGACCAGUUAUCAGUUGUCUGGCCUGGUUGAUAAUAACCGCAUGCUAUUUUACCAGGAAUGUCUGUUAAGGGAUUAGGAAAGGGAGUGAUGAAGAAAAAGAAUAUGGUAAAGAUCAUGUUUACGGUGGUGUACAUGGAAUGGUCAGUGACAUUUCCAGACAUGCGGCACUAGAUUACCGCUGAGAUGGAUGGCAGAUGUUUGCUGAACAAGUCAUUCGUGGAGAGUGAGACUGUUAUAUCUAAAAAUAGGUUUUGGGGUUUUACUUUGCAUUAUUUUUCAAGGGAAUCCUAUAGUGCUUGCUUGUUUGGAUCCAAGUAGGCUGAAAAAGUUUGUCCAUGCCACCUCUUCUGCUCAGCCAAUGAAGAAAAGAGAAAAUUCAGUUUCUCUUAUUUUUGCCUGCU